Lagopus leucura (white-tailed ptarmigan) is the source of this 459-nucleotide long non-coding RNA. RefSeq lists it as uncharacterized. The transcript is spliced from 3 exons. The record is from RefSeq and is a predicted model, not a curated record. Lineage: Eukaryota; Metazoa; Chordata; Aves; Galliformes; Phasianidae.
UUAAGGAUUCAUAAUUAUUGGUGUGGGACAUGCGGCACUUUUUCCCUCCAGGUGCUGAGCAUGUUACUAUCACCUCCGCCACCCAGUGCCCCAGCAGCCAAAGGGAAAAAGGCCAGAAAUGGGACAUGGACUUUGUUCUCUCACUUACAGUGGGCCAGUACUGCUGCAGGAAAAUCUGCCUUUGAAGGGACAAUUCUGUACAGAGUGGCACCGGCAAAGAUUGACAGCUACAGACGCUAUAACACUGAGGAACAAGGCAGAUUCAAUGCCUGGUUUGACAAACAUUUGCCUCUCUUUCCAUACACAUGGACCCACAAUGCUGUCAGUAAUAGAUAUUAGAUAUAACGGAAGAAGAUGAGACAGGAUCGUUGAAACAGAAGUAUUCGUGAGUAAAUCUUAAUUGUGUUUUCUAUUGCUCGACUACUUUUGUUUUUUUCUUACCUCUUGAGGAACGGUGGC